CUCUGUGACUCCUACGGGAGGCAGCAGUGGGGAAUAUUGCACAAUGGGGGAAACCCUGAUGCAGCCAUGCCGCGUGUGUGAAGAAGGCCUUCGGGUUGUAAAGCACUUUCAGUAGGGAGGAAGGUAGUGUAGUUAACACCUGCACUAUUUGACGUUACCUACAGAAGAAGCACCGGCUAACUCCGUGCCAGCAGCCGCGGUAAUACGGAGGGUGCGAGCGUUAAUCGGAAUUACUGGGCGUAAAGCGCAUGCAGGCGGCCUGUUAAGUCAGAUGUGAAAGCCCCGGGGCUUAACCUCGGAAUUGCAUUUGAAACUGGCAGGCUAGAGUCUUGUAGAGGGGGUAGAAUUUCAGGUGUAGCGGUGAAAUGCGUAGAGAUCUGAAGGAAUACCAGUGGCGAAGGCGGCCCCCUGGACAAAGACUGACGCUCAGAUGCGAAAGCGUGGGGAGCAAACAGGAUUAGAUACCCUUGUAG
RNAcentral lists this ribosomal RNA (473 nucleotides) under uncultured bacterium. RNAcentral's name for it is "bacterial SSU rRNA". It matches the Rfam family "Bacterial small subunit ribosomal RNA", at positions 328 to 793 of the family's 1533-position model. The record is from RNAcentral.